GUUGACCGAUGCUUUGUGUUUAAUAUGCUGAUCAAGCGACCUUGGCUGAACGCUGAGUAACAACAUUGACGAUGAAAAAUAAGAUGGGCUUUACGCAGCGCUCCGCUUCGCAAAGCACAUCGACGAGUCUGUUCACAUUCUCUUCCAAACCGAUUUUUCUAUAUUGAUAUACAGUAUUGUAAAUUCUAAAUGAAUAGCAUUUAAAUCUAUCAACUACCUGAUAUAAGACAGGCAUUGGCGAUCGGUUUAAUGUGUCUCGACGUACUGUACAGCAUGGAACAUUUUAAAUAAAGUUAUUGAUUCUCUCUUAAUAUUAAAUGAAAAUGAAAAAAUAAUUUUUUGGCCAUCAAAGCAGGAUGCUGAAAAAUCAAUGAAUUUUUUUAUAUCCAGUCUGGUUUCCCAGGAAUUAUAGGCUGUAUAGAUGGAAAGCAUAUGGCCAUUAAAGCACCACUUGAAGAAGCAGCAGCUUAUUUCGAUAGAAAUAAGUAUUACUCUGUCACUCUAUUAUACAAGCAGUUUGUAAUGAAAAAAUGGCAUUUUUAGACUGCUAUGUAUGUGAAGCAGGGUCAGUACACGAUGCCUGUGUUUUCCGAUGAUCAGCAUUGCAUGAAAGAGCAAACACCGGAGAUGGAUUUUUCAGCUGUGGCCAUAUUUUGGGCGAUAGUGCCUACACGUUAUCUGAACAUUUGCUUACACCAUAUCGAGAUAACGAGAAUCUCAACAGCGUGCAAAAGCUGUAUAAAAAUAAAUUAGCAAAAUGUAGAAACGUAAUUGAGCGUGCUUUUGCACAUCAUGUUGGACGGUUCAGGCAAUUAAAAUUUUUAGACAUGUGUCGAAAGGACUUGAUUGUAAAAAUAAUUAUUGGUGCAUGCAUUCUUCACAAUAUUUUAUACAAACUUGCAACGUAAUAGUAGAUGAUGAUUUUGACGACCAAGAAAGUGAAGAAACUGUAACGCAUCUACCUGUCCACCUGCUUUUCGUGCAAUUGAAUGAAAUGAAAAUUGUACAAUACAAUUGAAAUGAAAAUUUUUUAUUAAAAGCUGCCAUAUCACAAUGUGCUUUUUUUAUAUAUGGAAGAUUAUAGUUUAUCAAAUGUCAACAAAGCGUGAUGACAUUGCAAAUGGAAUUUUUAUAAGAUCUUAAAAACCGAGGAAGAAUUCAAGUGGAAUUCGAAAUUACAUUUGGAACAUUUUUGGACCCUACAUGU
Molecule: long non-coding RNA, 1207 nt
Organism: Centruroides sculpturatus (bark scorpion)
Lineage: Eukaryota; Metazoa; Arthropoda; Arachnida; Scorpiones; Buthidae
Exons: 3
Source: RefSeq, a predicted model, not a curated record